GAGAUUCGGGCUCAGUUGGUUAGAGUGCUGGUCUGUCACGCCAGAAGUCGCGGGUUCGAACCCCGUUUUCC
This 71-nucleotide transfer RNA is filed under the name Oryza glaberrima (African rice). RNAcentral's name for it is "tRNA EPlOGLG00000000022". The stretch from base 9 to 66 matches the Rfam family "tRNA", at positions 9 to 63 of the family's 71-position model. Rfam says of the family: Transfer RNA (tRNA) molecules are approximately 80 nucleotides in length. The record is from RNAcentral. Lineage: Eukaryota; Viridiplantae; Streptophyta; Magnoliopsida; Poales; Poaceae.